This 282-nucleotide unclassified non-coding RNA is filed under the name uncultured Cortinarius. RNAcentral's name for it is "sequence contains ITS2". The stretch from base 1 to 52 matches the Rfam family "5.8S ribosomal RNA", at positions 103 to 154 of the family's 154-position model. The record is from RNAcentral. Lineage: Eukaryota; Fungi; Basidiomycota; Agaricomycetes; Agaricales; Cortinariaceae.
AACGCACCUUGCGCUCCUUGGUAUUCCGAGGAGCAUGCCUGUUUGAGUGUCAUUAAUAUAUAUAUCAACCCUCUCUUUGUUGAGUGGUUUGGAUGUGGGGGUUUGCUGGCCUCUUAAAUGGUUCAGCUCCCCUGAAAUGCAUUAGCAGAACAACCCUGUUCAUUGGUGUGAUAAACUAUCUACGCUAUUGAAUGUGAAGGGCAGUUUGGCUUUCUAACAGUCCUCGGACAAACUCAUCAUUAAUGUGACCUCAAAUCAGGUAGGACUACCCGCUGAACUUAA